This 253-nucleotide ribosomal RNA is filed under the name uncultured bacterium. RNAcentral describes it as "partial 16S ribosomal RNA". It matches the Rfam family "Bacterial small subunit ribosomal RNA", at positions 524 to 776 of the family's 1533-position model. The record is from RNAcentral.
GACGUAGGGCGCGAGCGUUGUCCGGAUUUAUUGGGCGUAAAGAGCUCGUAGGCGGCUCAUUGCGUCAACCGUGAAAACCUGCCGCUCAACGGUAGGCUUGCGGUUGAUACGGGUGGGCUGGAGUUCGGUAGGGGAGACUGGAAUUCCUGGUGUAGCGGUGAAAUGCGCAGAUAUCGGGAAGAACACCCGUGGCGAAGGCGGCUCUCUGGGACGGUACCGACGCUGAGACGCGAAAGCGUGGGGAGCGAACAGG